GCGGAUGAAAGUCUGCUUCCCUUCGGGGCACGAAACUAGGUGCUGCAUGGUUGUCGUCAGCUCGUGCCGUGAGGUGUCGGCUUAAGUGCCAUAACGAGCGCAACCCUUGCCGUUAGUUGCCAGCGGGUGAUGCCGGGAACUCUAGCGGGACUGCUACUGUAAGGUAGAGGAAGGUGGGGAUGACGUCAAAUCAGCACGGCCCUUACGUCCGGGGCGACACACGUGUUACAAUGGUAGGUACAGAGGGUUGCUACCCCGCGAGGGGAUGCUAAUCUCAUAAAACCUAUCUCAGUUCGGAUCGGAGUCUGCAACUCGACUCCGUGAAGCUGGAUUCGCUAGUAAUCGCGCAUCAGCCAUGGCGCGGUGAAUACGUUCCCGGGCCUUGUACACACCGCCCGUCAAGCCAUGGAAGCUGGGGGUACCUAAAGUCUGCAACCGCAAGGAGCGGCCUAGGGUAAAACUGGUAACUGGGGCUAAGUCGUAACAAGGUAGCCGUA
RNAcentral lists this ribosomal RNA (497 nucleotides) under uncultured bacterium. Its description in RNAcentral is "bacterial SSU rRNA". It matches the Rfam family "Bacterial small subunit ribosomal RNA", at positions 997 to 1504 of the family's 1533-position model. The record is from RNAcentral.